AGCGAACGCUGGCGGCAGGCCUAACACAUGCAAGUCGAACGGAUCCUUCGGGAUUAGUGGCGGACGGGUGAGUAACACGUGGGAACGUGCCCUUUGGUACGGAACAACUCAGGGAAACUUGAGCUAAUACCGUAUAAGCCCUACGGGGAAGAUUAUCGCCAUUGGAGCGGCCCGCGUCUGAUUAGCUAGUUGGUGAGGUAAAGGCUCACCAAGGCGACGAUCAGUAGCUGGUCUGAGAGGAUGAUCAGCCACAUUGGGACUGAGACACGGCCCAAACUCCUACGGGAGGCAGCAGUGGGGAAUCUUGCGCAAUGGGCGAAAGCCUGACGCAGCCAUGCCGCGUGUAUGAUGAAGGUCUUAGGAUUGUAAAAUACUUUCACCGGGG
RNAcentral lists this ribosomal RNA (385 nucleotides) under uncultured bacterium. RNAcentral describes it as "bacterial SSU rRNA". It matches the Rfam family "Bacterial small subunit ribosomal RNA", at positions 29 to 444 of the family's 1533-position model. The record is from RNAcentral.